GACGAACGCUGGCGGCGUGCUUAACACAUGCAAGUCGAACGGAAAGGCCCUGCUUUUGUGGGGUGCUCGAGUGGCGAACGGGUGAGUAACACGUGAGUAACCUGCCCUUGACUUUGGGAUAACUUCAGGAAACUGGGGCUAAUACCGGAUAGGAGCUCCUGCUGCAUGGUGGGGGUUGGAAAGUUUCGGCGGUUGGGGAUGGACUCGCGGCUUAUCAGCUUGUUGGUGGGGUAGUGGCUUACCAAGGCUUUGACGGGUAGCCGGCCUGAGAGGGUGACCGGCCUCAUUGGGACUAAGAGACGGCCCAGACUCCUACGGGAGGCAGCAGUGGGGAAUAUUGCACAAUGGGCGGAAGCCUGAUGCAGCAACGCCGCGUGCGGGAUGACGGCCUUCGGGUUGUAAACCGCUUUCGCCUGUGACGAAGCGUGAGUGACGGUAAUGGGUAAAGAAGCACCGGCUAACUACGUG
This 468-nucleotide ribosomal RNA is filed under the name uncultured bacterium. Its description in RNAcentral is "partial 16S ribosomal RNA". It matches the Rfam family "Bacterial small subunit ribosomal RNA", at positions 28 to 507 of the family's 1533-position model. The record is from RNAcentral.